Molecule: non-coding RNA, 228 nt
Filed under: Companilactobacillus tucceti
Lineage: Bacteria; Bacillati; Bacillota; Bacilli; Lactobacillales; Lactobacillaceae
Description: Lactobacillus tucceti T-box sequence
Rfam family: T-box leader
About the family: Uncharged tRNA acts as the effector for transcription antitermination of genes in the T-box leader family. T-boxes are found upstream of many aminoacyl-tRNA synthetase genes and some amino acid biosynthetic genes usually in Gram-positive bacteria. The anticodon of a specific tRNA base pairs to a specifier sequence within the T-box motif, and the NCCA acceptor tail of the tRNA base pairs to a conserved bulge in the T-box antiterminator hairpin.
Source: RNAcentral
AUAAAAGUUGUGAUUAGGAAAAGUAAGUAAUGACCAAUCAAACAGAGAGCCUUGGUAGCUGGAAACAAGACAGAAGUCAUUAUUGAAAACACACCUAUGAACUGUAGAGCUGAAUUCAGUAGGCUUUACCGAUAUUUGGUUCGUUAUCCAAGUUGACUCAGCCAACAUGAGGUCUAAUUCGCAAGGAUUAGAUAAAAUGAGGUGGAACCGCGUUUAUACGUCCUCUUA